Molecule: long non-coding RNA, 1363 nt
Organism: Astatotilapia calliptera (eastern happy)
Lineage: Eukaryota; Metazoa; Chordata; Actinopteri; Cichliformes; Cichlidae
Source: Ensembl
GUUUUAUUUGUCAUAUGCAAGUUAGCACAGGGUCAACAUUGCAAUGAAAUGUGUUUGACGAGCAGCAGUCACUCAGCAGCAUGGUACAGUAGAAAUAUAAUAAAAUAUAAUAAAAUAAAAAAUAGAAAAAUAGUAAAGAGCAAAAUAUUAGAGAGACGUGGUAAAAGAGAAAAGAUGACUAAAUAUAUAUGUAUCUAUAAAUAUAAAUAUAUGUACACUAGUGAUUAAAUAAGAAAAUCUUGAAAAGAAAUAUGACGGGAGGCCAAAUGGGAUGUUGCACAGGAAUGAGCAGCAGAAAAUUACAGUAUUACUCAGACUUUUAAUAGUCAUAUUGUCAGUUUUGGCCGACGGUCAUGGGUCACUUCCACUAAAAUAGCAGGAGACUGGAGUAAAAUGUACUUUAUUAAUGAGAACACAUGGUGAUACAGCAAAGAAUCCAACCCUUCUGAAAAGCAAAUGGCUUCCUGUCAUACUCUACCUGAUUCAGGUGAGCAUCUGGAAUAGACCAAGUCUGGGGGUCAGUAAACCAAAGGAAAACAAAACCCUCCCCAUAAGAAAACCACUACAAUAUAACCAACACGUUCUCACUCCCAAAGCGUAACAUUUUACGCUAGGUGACAAAUCGUCACCAUAUUACGUUUUUGGCUACCCACCACGUUCCUAAAUGACGACCUCGGAAAAAAGAGGAAAUAUGAGAACCGUCUGGACUGAAUCUACACAUGUUUGCUCUUUUUCUUCAAAUCGCUUAGAAACACGCUAUUUAACAUCAUUAAAGUCCUGGUUAAGGUCAGGAAUAAGGUUAUGGUCAGGGCUAGGGAUAAGGUUAGGUUUAGGGCUGGAAUACAGGGCUGGAACGUCUAUUACCGCGGGAGCGUCAUUGCACUGGAUUCCAGCCAUAGCCCGCCGCGUACCAUAAGAACGCCGAAGGUCUCCUUUCGCGUUCCUCAGGAACGCCGCGGGACGUGACAAAACGUCGACAUGUUACGCCUCGGGAGUGAGAAUGGGCUGAUAUAGCACAUCAUAGACAUAUGAAGAUUUGGAACAAGUCCUAUAAAUAAUUCCAUAACAUAUAAACUUCAGUCUCUUCUAUAUACAUUAAAACAGCAGUCCCCAACCUUUUUUGCGCCACGGACCGGUUUAUGCCCAACAAUAUUUUCAUGGACCGGCCUUUAAGGUGUCACAGAUAAAUACAACAAAAUAAAACUAGUACCGGUACCGGAAAAAAAGAAGAUUUAUUCAUAACACACGUGAAAGACCCAGGAAAACAGAGUUAACGAUAAAAACGAUAACAAAAUAACGAUAAAAACUCUGAAAACCAUACAUUUCACACCCGAGCCUCAUCUCUCGACCAAACGACGGUCCG